UACGGAGGAUGCAAGCGUUAGUCCGGAAUGAUUGGGCGUAAAGCGUCCGCAGGUGGCUAUGUAAGUCUGCUGUUAAAGAGUGAGGCUCAACCUCAUAAAAGCAGUGGAGACUACAUGGCUAGAGUGCGUUCGGGGCAGAGGGAAUUCCUGGUGUAGCGGUGAAAUGCGUAGAGAUCAGGAAGAACACCGGUGGCGAAAGCGCUCUGCUAGGCCGCAACUGGACACUGAGGGACGAAAGCUAGGGGAGCGAAUGGG
RNAcentral lists this ribosomal RNA (255 nucleotides) under uncultured bacterium. RNAcentral's name for it is "partial 16S ribosomal RNA". It matches the Rfam family "Bacterial small subunit ribosomal RNA", at positions 524 to 776 of the family's 1533-position model. The record is from RNAcentral.